UAUACAGUAGACUGCUUCUUCUAAUCCUUCUUUGACCUCCACAGACAUGGACACUCUACUUGAGAAAGUAUCAGCAAGUUUAUGGAGGAUAACAUUUGAAUGUGGAGAGGGGCGUGGCCAGUGGGCCUUCAGCAGAAUGGGCCUCGAAGACAGCAACAGCAGCAGCCGGAAGGAGAGAAGGCGUGGGAGCUGGAGUGGGAGCGAAAGCGAGACCGAGACCGAGACCGUGUACGAGACCGAGACCGAGACCGACAUGAACUAAGGACAAUCGUUUAAAUUUUACAAUUAUUAAAGCAUUGUGAAAAAAUAUUGCGGAAAAAAGUUAGUUUAAAAAAAAAAAUAGAUGUGUAUGUCAUUGUACAACAAUUAUUCACUAUAGGAGUAUUUUGACCAAAGGUUGACAUUUUACAAAAACAUUUUACAGAAAUGAAAACACUAUCAUAUAAAAACAUCAAUCUAAAAAGUCAAUGGCAGUUUUGCAAAAGGGCGCUUGGAUAUUGACUACAUAAAAAAUAGUAUUUCUACUCAGAUCAGACAUAUUUACAGCUACUAUUACCUACAGUUCUACGGCAACACAACAACUCUCUGUAGAUGUAUGAAACAUCCCUCUAGUCAGGAUUGAUUGAGACUUUUAUCAGUAGGUUGCACAGUGAAGUACAUAUUCCGUACAAUUGACCACUAAAUGGUAACUGACUUGGUAGGACAGCAAGUAGGAGAGAGAGAGAGAGAGAGAGAGAGAGAGAGAGAGAGAGAGAGAGAGAGAGAGAGAGAGAGAGAGAGAGAGAGAGAGAGAGAGAGAGAGAGAGAGAGAGAGAGAGAGAAUAUUACAACAACAUUAAGAACUUUUUGGAACACAUUAACGAACCCUUCAAAGUGAUCGCUGUCACAGAAACAUGGUUUGAUGAUAAAAAAAGAAUAUAUUUUGCAUAAACCCAAGUAAAGAGCCCGUCUUUAAGAA
Non-coding RNA from Nerophis lumbriciformis (worm pipefish), 958 nucleotides. NCBI's taxonomy places the organism in Eukaryota, Metazoa, Chordata, Actinopteri, Syngnathiformes, Syngnathidae. The record is from RefSeq and is a predicted model, not a curated record.